Molecule: ribosomal RNA, 106 nt
Filed under: Oryzias latipes (Japanese medaka)
Lineage: Eukaryota; Metazoa; Chordata; Actinopteri; Beloniformes; Adrianichthyidae
Source: RNAcentral
AAAUGAGGUCACACCAUGGAAAUGCCUGAUCUCAGAAGCUAAGGAGGGUCAGACCUGCUUGGUCCGUAGAUGAGAGACCGUCUUAGACUAUGAGGUGCUUUAAGUU